GACGAACGCUGGCGGCGUGCUUAACACAUGCAAGUCGAACGGUGAAGCGCCUUCCUUUUUGGUGGGUGUGGAUGAGUGGCGAACGGGUGAGUAACACGUGAGUAACCUGCCCCCUUCUUCUGGAUAACCGCAUGAAAGUGUGGCUAAUACGGGAUAUUCUGGGUCUGUCGCAUGAUGGGUCUGGGAAAGAUAUUGUUUCGGUGGGGGAUGGGCUCGCGGCCUAUCAGCUUGUUGGUGGGGUGAUGGCCUACCAAGGCGGUGACGGGUAGCCGGCCUGAGAGGGUGGACGGUCACACUGGGACGGAGACACGGCCCAGACUCCGACGGGAGGCAGCAGUGGGGAAUAUUGCACAAUGGGCGCAAGCCUGAUGCAGCGACGCCGCGUGAGGGAUGGAGGCCUUCGGGUUGUGAACCUCUUUCGCCAGUGAAGCAGGCCUGCCUCGUUUGUGGGUGGGUUGACGGUAGCUGGAUAAGAAGCGCCGGCUAACUACGUG
This 494-nucleotide ribosomal RNA is filed under the name uncultured bacterium. Its description in RNAcentral is "partial 16S ribosomal RNA". It matches the Rfam family "Bacterial small subunit ribosomal RNA", at positions 28 to 507 of the family's 1533-position model. The record is from RNAcentral.